UGGGGAAUCUUGGACAAUGGGGGCAACCCUGAUCCAGCCAUGCCGCGUGAGUGAUGAAGGCCUUAGGGUCGUAAAGCUCUUUCAACGGUGAAGAUAAUGACGGUAACCGUAGAAGAAACCCCGGCUAACUCCGUGCCAGCAGCCGCGGUAAUACGGAGGGGGUUAGCGUUGUUCGGAAUUACUGGGCGUAAAGCGCACGUAGGCGGACCAGAAAGUUGGGGGUGAAAUCCCGGGGGCUCAACCCCGGAACUGCCUCCAAAACUAUUGGUCUAGAGUUCGAGAGAGGUGAGUGGAAUUCCAAGUGUAGAGGUGAAAUUCGUAGAUAUUUGGAGGAACACCAGUGGCGAAGGCGGCUCACUGGCUCGAUACUGACGCUGAGGUGCGAAAGUGUGGGGAGCAAACAGGAUUAGAUACCCUGGUAGUCCACACCGUAAAACGAUGAAUGCCAGUCGUCGGGGUAGCAUGCUAUUCGGUGACACACCUAACGGAUUAAGCA
Molecule: ribosomal RNA, 496 nt
Filed under: uncultured bacterium
Lineage: Bacteria
Description: bacterial SSU rRNA
Rfam family: Bacterial small subunit ribosomal RNA
Source: RNAcentral